This 316-nucleotide unclassified non-coding RNA is filed under the name plant metagenome. Its description in RNAcentral is "partial contains 5.8S ribosomal RNA, internal transcribed spacer 2, and large subunit ribosomal RNA". The stretch from base 1 to 105 matches the Rfam family "5.8S ribosomal RNA", at positions 50 to 154 of the family's 154-position model. The record is from RNAcentral.
GAACUGCGAUAAGUAAUGUGAAUUGCAGAAUUCAGUGAAUCAUCGAGUCUUUGAACGCACAUUGCGCCCCCUGGCAUUCCGGGGGGCAUGCCUGUCCGAGCGUCAUUGCUGCCCUUCAAGCCCGGCUUGUGUGUUGGGUCGUCAUCCCCUCCGGGGGACGGGCCCGAAAGGCAGCGGCGGCACCGCGUCCGGUCCUCGAGCGUAUGGGGCUUUGUCACCCGCUCGAUAAGGACCGGCCGGGCGCCAGCCGGCGUCUCCAACCUUUUUUUUCUCAGGUUGACCUCGGAUCAGGUAGGGAUACCCGCUGAACUUAAGC